Molecule: non-coding RNA, 69 nt
Organism: Rattus norvegicus (Norway rat)
Lineage: Eukaryota; Metazoa; Chordata; Mammalia; Rodentia; Muridae
Source: Rfam
GGGGAUUUGGCUCAGUGGUAGAGUGCUUGCCUAGCAAGCGCAAGGCCCUGGGUUCGGUUCCCAGCUCCG